GACGAACGCUGGCGGCGUGCUUAACACAUGCAAGUCGAACGGUGAAGCUCCAGCUUGCUGGAGUGGAUCAGUGGCGAACGGGUGAGUAACACGUGAGCAACCUGCCCCAGACUCUGGAAUAAGCGCUGGAAACGGCGUCUAAUACUGGAUACGAGAUCAAGCCGCAUGGUUAUGGUCUGGAAAGUUUUUCGGUUUGGGAUGGGCUCGCGGCCUAUCAGCUUGUUGGUGAGGUAAUGGCUCACCAAGGCGACGACGGGUAGCCGGCCUGAGAGGGCGACCGGCCACACUGGGACUGAGACACGGCCCAGACUCCUACGGGAGGCAGCAGUGGGGAAUAUUGCACAAUGGGCGAAGGCCUGAUGCAGCGACGCCGCGUGAGGGAUGACGGCCUUCGGGUUGUAAACCUCUUUCAGCAGGGAAGAAGCGAAAGUGACGGUACCUGCAGAAGAAGCACCGGCUAACUACGUG
RNAcentral lists this ribosomal RNA (468 nucleotides) under uncultured bacterium. RNAcentral's name for it is "partial 16S ribosomal RNA". It matches the Rfam family "Bacterial small subunit ribosomal RNA", at positions 28 to 507 of the family's 1533-position model. The record is from RNAcentral.